CAGCCUCGGAUAUCCUAAAUAUAGUAAACUCUUUGAAAUUUUCUGCUCAUGACCAGUGGGGACUUACACACUAUAUUUAUUUGAUGUGAGUUUAAUUAUUGGGGUUUUUACUGAGGAAGAUAAUGAGAAAUGGAAUUUUACUGAGCGGGUUUUUGCACAUUAUUUUUCCAGGAUUUAUUCUUAAUGACUGUGGAACUAAAGAAAUUUUUAAUCUUGGGAAAUGACUUUUACAUAGUUUUGGAUUUGAAAUAAUUUUCUGUCCUUUCUAUUCUUUGUUGAGAUGACAGGAAGCCACUUAUUAUUGGAAUCUUGGGUUCAGAAACAAACCUUCUGGAGCCAGACUGUGGCCUGGGGCUGUGAGCAGGAACAAGCUGUCCUCUUCCUGAGAGUGGAAAAGGCCUCUGUUGGGACUUCCCUUUUCCAUUUCUGGUGGAAAUAAAGGAUCAGCUACUCCUCAGAGUACCUACCAUAUCUUAGGAGAAUGAGCACCCUGAAGUUCCUUUUCCAAGCAGCUGACUAGAGGCAAGCACUCAGCCUGGACCAGCAGCACUGACCUAGAAAACUGAGAUGCUUGUGCAAUUAAAGAGGCAGUGUUCUGACCUGACAAGGCACUAUUAUGAAACCUUCCUAAGCACACUGAUGGAACAAGACACUGUUUUCAAAUGCAGCACUGAUGGGACCAGCAAGACUUUUAGGUCUCAUGAGACUGGAGUCCUGCACAGCAUAUGAACAAUUGAGCCUGGAUAAAUGCAUCCAGACUCAUGUUAGGAAACUCUUACUGCCCUCAGCAACUCUAUCAUAUUUGAAGCAAACUUUGGGGUAUUCAUCCUCUGGACAGAAUGACUGCACUGCAGAAGUUACACAUAGACACUGGCUUUAUUUCCCUGUAACAAUGGGGUUAAUGCUCAGGCUCACAGGAGUUAAAGGGGGUGGCUGCUGCUGCCCCAUGGCUAAUGCCAAGCAGGAAGGAAACCUCUGCACCCCACCUGCGGACGCUGAAAACCACACGAAUGUGUUACCUUGGAAGAACUCUGAUCUCCUGCUUACAGAAGCUCCUGUGAUCUACAUCUCCAGUGCCCUAGCAGAUACCAUAAAAUAAGGAAGGCUGAAAUGACUAUGGAGUUGUCUGGAAAUAAAACAUUUCAUCGUGUUUCACAAGAAACAAAAAAAAAAGGUUUUUUUUCAAGUGGGUACUGUACUUCUCUCUGGAAUCACUCUAACCCAAAGCUACAGCAAAGCACUAAGGGGUACUGCCAAGCUGAAACAGUACUUCCUCUGUGGUGAUCAAAUAUUUAAGACAAGCUUUCAGAACAGCAGCUAUUGUCUGACCAAAUUCUGGCCUCCAUUAUUUCACUUUGCUACAUACAGCUAGCCUGUAGUAUGUGUCAGAUUUUGUAUUUGUUCCUUCCUCUAAACUAUAACUGUGAUAUUGUCAUUUGCAUCCACUAAAUUCAGCUUUUCAUGUAAUUUGUUCAUAUACUCAUAUUUCAUGGUUAGUGUCGUAUUUCCUAAGGUAAGGAAUAAAAGCAUAUAAAAAUUAAUAUAGGAAAAUAGCAAACAAUGGAAGAGGGGAAUUAAAGAAGUAUUUUCUAGUCCUUCACGGAUCUAGGUAUACUUUUUUCAUGCGAAUGAAUAGCUGGAUUAACUGUUUGCAAUUAUUUUCUUCAGGGUUUUUUCCCUCUUUGUUUUGUUUUGUUUUUUGUUUAACUUUGAAAUUCACCUCCACCUGUAUUUGAUGAGGUUUUCUGCUGCUGCUGGACAAGCUGCAGAAUCUGAAGCAGCUGUUGGCCUGCACUGCUCCAAGCAGGAGGCCUCUGGCCAAUUUGCAGAGACAGGUGGAGUGUGCCAAUGCCCAGCAGCCACAAGGUCCUGCAUGUUAACUUUAUCCCUGGGCACCUGAAAGGAUAUGGCUACAGACUAGGAUCCUUGAUGUGCGUGCUCUUGCCUUCUAUGUGCAGGCACUUCCAUGGAAUAGGUUAAUUAAUAUUUUUCCCAUCUAUGUGCAGGCACUUCAGUGGAAUAGGUUAACAUUUUUCCCAUCACUUCUUUUCAGAAUAAAAUAACACAACACAUAUACUUGCACUGCCUUUAGAAUUCUUUUUUCUGUGUGCUACCUUUGUGAUUAUGAUAUUAUUUCUCUUAGAUGCACCAUAGCCGUAUUGUUUCCAUAGAGAUGUUCUGCUAUUCAUCUCUAAAUGACACAUGGACAGACAUUUAUGUUAAAAUGAUUGAUGAAUGGUGCAUUCCUGUCUUUACUGAAUCCAUAUGACUGACAACUUAUUCUCCAGAGAAACAAAGUAAGCCCUUAUUAUGGAUAAUGCAGAUUUGAUUUGCAGAAUAUGAAUCAUUACUUUAGAAGGCUCCUGCUGUGUUUGUAAGGAGAUCAAUUUGGGCUGCCAUCUGGAAACUGUACUUUAAGAGUGCAGAGAGAAAUGUUUGCUUCGUGACUAAACAUGCUGACUAAUAGUCUGUGCUUUAACUGGUCUGGAUCAAAUCCUUACAGGGAAAUCUGCAAAGACCUCUUCUUGACAUCAUGUAAAAGAUUUUUUUCUUACUUGAUUUUGCUUGCCAAACAACACAGGGGCUCCCAGACCAACAGCUGGUAAUUUUUUGUGCUUAAGAAAAAUAAAAAACCUGGA
Non-coding RNA from Zonotrichia albicollis (white-throated sparrow), 2639 nucleotides. The record is from RefSeq and is a predicted model, not a curated record. Lineage: Eukaryota; Metazoa; Chordata; Aves; Passeriformes; Passerellidae.